CCGAGUUAUACAACUCAUCAACCCUGUGAACAUACCUAUACGUUGCCUCGGCGGAUCGGACCGCGCCCCGUAACACGGGCCGGCCCGCCGCAGGAUCCCCCUAACUCUGUUUCUAUAUGUUAACUUCUGAGUAACAAACAAAUAAAUUA
Molecule: unclassified non-coding RNA, 149 nt
Filed under: soil metagenome
Description: partial internal transcribed spacer 1
Source: RNAcentral